RNAcentral lists this small RNA (666 nucleotides) under Pongo abelii (Sumatran orangutan). RNAcentral describes it as "retained intron". The record is from RNAcentral. Lineage: Eukaryota; Metazoa; Chordata; Mammalia; Primates; Hominidae.
CCCAGAUCCGGAGGUCGCGGAGAGCUGGGCAGCGUUGGCCGCUGGCGGAGCGCUGGGGCAGCAUGAAGUGCCUGGUCACGGGCGGCAACGUGAAGGGUGAGUGCAGAUCGGCCUGGCAGCGGCGGUGCAGGAGCCGCGGAGCCACCAGCCUAACCCCCUUCCGCUCUCCUCCCCGCAGUGCUCGGCAAGGCCGUCCACUCCCUGUCCCGCAUCGGGGACGAGCUCUACCUGGAACCCUUGGAGGACGGGCUCUCCCUCCGGACGGUGAACUCCUCCCGCUCUGCCUAUGCCUGCUUUCUCUUUGCCCCGCUCUUCUUCCAGCAAUACCAGGCAGCCACCCCUGGUCAGGACCUGCUGCGCUGUAAGAUCCUGAUGAAGUCUUUCCUGUCUGUCUUCCGCUCACUGGCGAUGCUGGAGAAGACGGUGGAAAAAUGCUGCAUCUCCCUGAACGGCCGGAGCAGCCGCCUGGUGGUCCAGCUGCAUUGCAAGUUCGGUGAGUGGGCAGCCGGCCAGCCAAGGGGUGCCUCAGCAGGGAGGUCAGUGAGGCCCACUGAGACCCUUUCGCCCAUCCAGGGGUGCGGAAGACUCACAACCUGUCCUUCCAGGACUGUGAGUCCCUGCAGGCCGUCUUCGACCCAGCCUCGUGCCCCCACAUGCUCCGCGCCC